This is a long non-coding RNA of Magnolia sinica, 414 nucleotides long. RefSeq lists it as uncharacterized. Lineage: Eukaryota; Viridiplantae; Streptophyta; Magnoliopsida; Magnoliales; Magnoliaceae. The record is from RefSeq and is a predicted model, not a curated record. The transcript is spliced from 3 exons.
UUGCAGUUGGCAUUGUAAAAAAGGACUCGGUCAUUGACGGGAAAAACAUUGUAGUUGGAGAACAACAUUGGUCUUCCAUCGAACGGGGUUCAUUCUAAUGGGUUCUCCCUUGUUAGAAGGGUCUUGGCUUAAAGCGGCCUUUCUUUGAAGGACCAACUUCCUGGAGGCAGCAACAAACCAAUCACGUUGGGUGAAGCUCUAAUGGCUCCAACCGUCAUAUAUGUCAAACAAGUGCUUGACAUUAUUAACAAGGGAGGCGUCAAAGGGAUAGCGCACAUCACAGUUGGUGGUUUCACAGACAAUAUACCCCGCGUCUUGUGAUGGAGAUUCUCUUAAAUUAUCUUCACGUGAAUCUUCUUGGCAGUUUUUUUUUUUUCCUGUAAUUUGGUUGUUCACAUGUUGACUGACCCUUUU